Molecule: small RNA, 519 nt
Filed under: Pongo abelii (Sumatran orangutan)
Lineage: Eukaryota; Metazoa; Chordata; Mammalia; Primates; Hominidae
Description: retained intron
Source: RNAcentral
UGCUUGUCUCUUCUAGCCCUAAGUUCUUCCAUGUUCUGCCCUGACCUUAUCCUACCUACCUGUCUUAGCUCUUCCACUGGCUUUGUAGGUGAGGGAAAAUUUUUGCAAGGCUUUAAAAGCCUUAGUCCUGGGUCAUGGUGGCUCAGUGAAGGACUAGAUUAUUUUCUCUCUGUCCCAGGAGACCAGUAUGAUGUCUGUGCCAUCUGCCUGGAUGAAUAUGAGGAUGGGGACAAGCUGCGGGUACUCCCCUGUGCUCAUGGUGAGGCCCUCACUGCCUGCCCAUGCCCCUCUGCCACCAGCAGCCACCAGGUGCUUCACCUUGUUCCUCUCUGCAGCCUACCACAGCCGCUGCGUGGACCCCUGGCUCACUCAGACCCGGAAGACCUGCCCCAUUUGCAAGCAGCCCGUUCAUCGGGGUCCUGGGGACGAAGAGCAAGAGGAAGAAACUCAGGGGCAAGAGGAGGGUGAUGAAGAAGGGGAGCCAAGGGACCACCCUGCCUCAGAAAGGACCCCACUUUU